GUUUCUGCUGAUGUACUCCACGGUUCUGUGCAGCUAUUACAAUUCAGCCCUGACGACAGCAGUGGUUGGAGCCAUCAAGCAUGGCAGGGGGCUUGAGAUAUUCCUUUUUAACACUGAGCAGCCAGUUAAAACCUAAACCUGUGGGUGAAGAAAACAUCUGUUUGGAUUUGAAGAGCUAAAGAGUCUGCAGCAGGAUUGGAGACUGACUUGUGACUGCGGGCUGGGGGGGCAUUCCCAGUAGGAAUGUGAAGCCAGAGGUUUCAGAUUCGUGACAUCCACCCCCUGGGCAAGUGAGAGCAUCUGCAAAAUGCAAAGAGAACUACCUCAUAUGCAGGAUGAGCCAAUGGCAGUCUCAAGAAAUGUACUUGGGUGACACCUUACCUGUGGAAAGCAAAUCUUUUCAAAAUAAGCCACUGGGACUCGGUAGGUGGAGCCCCAGCUGCUCUUCUAGGGACCUAUGGGGCCUUCGUGGCAUCUCUGUGCUGUGUGCUGGGGAGGAGGUUGAUGUAAUGGUGACUCUUUUCUGAUCAGCACCUUGGCCGUGAUUCCCAAGGUCCCAGCCAAAGCAAAGGGCCAGUUGUUUCAGUUUAAACAGACAUGUCUUUAGUCUAAUAAAAUUAGUUAACUGCCAGUAAAGUUAUUUGUUAGCUUUGAUGAAAGCUAUGUUGGUAUCUUUCCCUAAUCAUCAAAGUAAAUAAAAAAUCAUUUCUAUGUA
RNAcentral lists this small RNA (715 nucleotides) under Pan troglodytes (chimpanzee). Its description in RNAcentral is "processed transcript". Lineage: Eukaryota; Metazoa; Chordata; Mammalia; Primates; Hominidae. The record is from RNAcentral.